UUUUAACACACAGAAUGGCUAUCCCCCCCCCCCCCUCCUUUAUUUUAUAAUUGUCCUUUUUUUUUGCUUGAUGAAUGUUUUCUUGGCUGUUUAUGAUUUCAAAAAUAAAUAAUCUUGCAACAAAUGUUUAAUAACAAACUUUGAAAAAUGACAUUGCAAACAUUACACAUUAACCUGCUGUCAUCCAUGCAUCUGGCCACCACCAAACACCCAUUUUCACAACGUGGAGAAGUGCAUGCUGGGAGAGGACUUUCAUGCACAUGUGCAGCUGUUGCACACUAAAGAAUCAGGGAUGCAGAUCGAGGCCUUAUCCAGGAGAAUUAACAACCUCACAUACUUACUCAGCCGAGACGAGCUGCUGAGAGGAAUGAGACGCAGCCAGACCGCCAUAGUGUGAUCGGCCUGCGCCGCAUUAACUCCACCGUACCGCCGAGAGCAUACCUCAACCUAACCCACCUCACCCUCAAAGCUUCAGGACCUGAAAUGUGUAACACAAUCCUACAUAAUUCAGCUCAAGAACACAACUCUACUAUUUUUGUUAUUGUAUUACUAAUUAUUUUUGAUGCGUUAUGAGGUUAUAAUGUACUGUAUGACAAUCAGAUCUGAGUUAAAGAGCAAACAAAAAAAUUAUUUUAUGUAAUAUGCACUUUUCACAAAGCCUUUCUGUCAAUAGAUGAAAUCAUCUACCUCAACCAUUGUGUUUUUCUUAAAAUAUUGUAUUCAUAUAGCCAGUGGAACUGGAUGUGAGUAAAUCCUUCUGUUUGACGAACACUUUGUCAUUUUCUUAGGCUGUUUUACUUCAUCUUUUUUCAAAGCUUGUUAAAAGCAGUUUGUUUUUUCAAGCAGAAAUGGUUGUUUGCUUGCUAUACCUCUGUUAAAUCCACCCCAAGAGUUAAAAGGGGUUUGUUGUAGUAAGGGGCUUUAUGCCGUGUAUGACGACUUGUCCAGUGUCCUACGUGUCCAAUGUGUCCCAUGACCCAACCGACAAACUUUGGGAGGUCCUUAUAUGACGGCUGAGCUUGAAAUGAGCAUACUUAUCUUAACAGGACUCCAAAGAAGAGAAGAAAAAUCCGCCCGCAGGUUCACUCUCAACCGAUACCAAGGAAAGAAUAAUAUUGGUGAGUUAUUUUACCUGGCAACAUUUUACGUCAGU
Molecule: long non-coding RNA, 1153 nt
Filed under: Sinocyclocheilus anshuiensis
Lineage: Eukaryota; Metazoa; Chordata; Actinopteri; Cypriniformes; Cyprinidae
Description: lncRNA (ENSSANG00000005276.1)
Source: RNAcentral